RNAcentral lists this long non-coding RNA (931 nucleotides) under Homo sapiens (human). RNAcentral describes it as "non-protein coding lnc-CCDC28A-1:8". The record is from RNAcentral. Lineage: Eukaryota; Metazoa; Chordata; Mammalia; Primates; Hominidae.
GGUGUUUUGGUCUUUAUCCUGUUGUACAGCGCCUCAUUUUUUACAAUGUGGGCCAGUAACUAUUUCGUAUCACCUACUCUGACCACCUUCAGGGUUGUUAUGAGGCUCAAAGGAACGGCUGCUGUGAAAAAACAUGCUUUGCAAUUUAUGAAGCACUGGAUAAACAUCAGGAACGGUAUAAAAGCAUGCUGCUUACUCAAGAAAUACUAGUUGAGUGCCUGUGUGUUGGGCACUGGCUAGAGAUAAGGGUCUCCUAUGGACAGAAGUGCGGGCAAGGAGCUUUGUUCCUCCCCGAUGUCACCCUCCCACAGCCCACUUGCUAGCAGGCAAGAGAGGGGUGGAGGCCGGCAGUAAGGCAUGUACUGAACUGGACCUCUGGUGGAAUGGGUCACCCACGCUGGGCUUGGUGGGUAUUUGAAAGUGACUCUUUCGUGAACACUGUUGUGAGCCCUCACUGGGAAUGUCUGGCCAUGCUUCCUGACGCUGGCAAUGAAUUUUCUCUAGCUGCUUAUUCUACCCCAACCUUGGUCUUCCUUCUGUCCCCUCCAUGCAGACUCUUACCAUCAGGGUCCUGCCAACCCUUCAGUGAGACUUUUUCCGAAGAAUCCCUUUUAAAAUGACCUCAAGCUGACCUUCCUGAUGCAGAUUCCACAUAUGGUAUCUGAGACUCACACAGUGUGGUUGGAAGAUAGCACAGUGACCUCCCAGGCACAGCCCUCUGCCAGCCCUCCACUGGCUGCCCUAGGAUGCUGGCCUUCCUCCGAUGGGAGUCGGGCCCAGUCUGCUGUGAGCCAGGAGAAGCCAGCAAGCUCCCUGCGAGGCCUGGAGGAGCCCUUCUCACUCAGCUUGGUGUUCGAUGCCAGUGCCCCCGCCCAUUGUGGGGUGAGGGUGGGACUCUCAGCACAGCCCUGUCCAAAUAAAUCCUCUAAAG